This 497-nucleotide ribosomal RNA is filed under the name uncultured bacterium. RNAcentral describes it as "partial 16S ribosomal RNA". It matches the Rfam family "Bacterial small subunit ribosomal RNA", at positions 28 to 507 of the family's 1533-position model. The record is from RNAcentral.
GACGAACGCUGGCGGCGUGCCUAAUACAUGCAAGUUGAGCGAUGAAGAUUGGUGCUUGCACCAAUUCGAAGAGCAGCGAACGGGUGAGUAACGCGUGGGGAAUCUGCCUUUGAGCGGGGGACAACAUUUGGAAACGAAUGCUAAUACCGCAUAACAACUUUAAACAUAAGUUUUAAGUUUGAAAGAUGCAAUUGCAUCACUCAAAGAUGAUCCCGCGUUGUAUUAGCUAGUUGGUGAGGUAAAGGCUCACCAAGGCGAUGAUACAUAGCCGACCUGAGAGGGUGAUCGGCCACAUUGGGACGUAGACACGGCCCAAACUCCUACGGGAGGCAGCAGUAGGGAAUCUUCGGCAAUGGACGAAAGUCUGACCGAGCAACGCCGCGUGAGUGAAGAAGGUUUUCGGAUCGUAAAACUCUGUUGGUAGAGAAGAACGUUGGGGAGAGUGGAAAGCUCAUCAAGUGACGGUAACUACCCAGAAAGGGACGGCUAACUACGUG